This 399-nucleotide unclassified non-coding RNA is filed under the name Hevea brasiliensis (rubber tree). The record is from RNAcentral. Lineage: Eukaryota; Viridiplantae; Streptophyta; Magnoliopsida; Malpighiales; Euphorbiaceae.
UGGUUUGUAAGUGUUCAAGGCAAAAAGCUUAUUCCUAUGAACCCAAUCUUUCACCAAAGAAUUCUUUAUAAAACUGGCAAGAGCUUUUUGCCUUGAACACUUACAAACCAAUAUAUACAAGAAAUGACAACAAAACAGAAAUACUAAUUACAUGGGCCACACACACGAAAAGGAGCAUUACUCUAGCAACUCCUCUUUGGUAUUAAAGUGAUUCCAAGUCAACUGCCCUGAAUAUUUUUAGAUCCUUCACAUGCCCAUGGUAGUCUCCUGAUUAGAUACCAGCUUCAGACUAUAAUCAUGGAGAUCAGGCUUAAACUUCUUCAUGGCUCCCUUGUUGAGACUUCCCCAUGUCAUCUCAAGGCAAGUUUAGCUUGGCCUGUUCCAAUAGAUCCUCACAAC